UUCAUUGACUGAUUUUUAUUAUAACAGACAAUUGUUAUUACAACAAAUUUAGAAAGUAAUCUUAGAAUAAGACUAAGCUUUAUCUGAUUUCAUAGAAUAAGCUUUUAGUUUGCUUUGCUCAUUGUUAUUAUUAUAAGACACAAUCUUUAAGAAAUUAGUUUUCUACAAUAAACUGAAAAAAUGAAAGAAAGACCAGAUAGACGAAGAUGAUAGGAAGUCUUGGGUUCUUGGAAUCAAAAUAAGAAGGGAAGAGGUCUGUGAUCGGAGAUAGUGUUUUAUUGAUGUGUAUGGUUUUGUGGUUUUGAAUUGGUGGUUUUUGUUGUGCUUAAGUUUUAAUUGAUCUUGGUUUCUAUGGGGUAUUGAUUUUGAUUUCCAUGUGUUUGGGUGUUGUUUUGUGGUUUAUAGUGCUUUACUCAUUUGAGAAGCCUCCACUGAUAUCGGUAUCCACUGUUUAGCAAUUUCAUGCUUAUCCACCACAAUCAAUAGGAAUCAAGGCUUGAUUAGGUAGCAUUUGAGGUGUUGUCAAUUGUGAAGCUGCUGCUGCUGCUGACAUUCCAAUUAUCUUUCUCAGGCCCAACAAAAGAGCUCCUCCUAAGUUAGUCGAACUUCAGUUGAUUAACCCUUGAGUCAAGUGAUGGCAUCUUCGAGUAGGACGAAGCGAGUGGAAAGAUUGUUUGGAGGGACUAAAUGUAAUAGUAUGUUUUUUGCGUGGAGAUGAAUUGGAUCAAGUUGAUUCAAAGAGAUGGAAAAGAACAUUCGAUAAUGCAUCCAAGGAAUAGCAGCCGUCAAAGACUUCUGAUACACCAAGUUUCACACCAAUUUAUUCAUUGUAAUCAGAACAUUUCCAUUUUGUACAAACCAAACCCUUUAUGUAAAAUAUUAUGGAAUACAAUGUAAACAAAUGAAAUCCCGCAGCAAAGUGCGGGCAAAUCUUUCUAGUAUAAUAUAUUUUCCAGAGAAAUUCUUUACUUUCA
Rosa rugosa (rugosa rose) is the source of this 974-nucleotide long non-coding RNA. RefSeq lists it as uncharacterized. The transcript has 5 exons. The record is from RefSeq and is a predicted model, not a curated record. Lineage: Eukaryota; Viridiplantae; Streptophyta; Magnoliopsida; Rosales; Rosaceae.